Molecule: long non-coding RNA, 912 nt
Filed under: Brassica napus (rape)
Lineage: Eukaryota; Viridiplantae; Streptophyta; Magnoliopsida; Brassicales; Brassicaceae
Description: long non-coding RNA (BNAP_LNC001285)
Source: RNAcentral
AGCUCACCCACAACAUCUUAGUGCUCCUCUCCGAGUUUGAGACGUGGCACUGGAGCAUGUCCAUCAAGAUAAGAAUAAGAUGGCCACACUAAUGGCUGAAACUGGAGCAUGUCACUUCCAAAAUCUGUUCUGGCUCCAUCACCUCAUUCUUCGGGAAGCUCGUGAUGGAUAAGGUCUCUCUACCUCUCGAUCUGUCAGUGGUUAGUUCUCUUUUUCCCAAACCACUAUCUUUUUUUCUCUAUCUGUCCUGCGUGAGGGCUUUCUCCCCUCUGGAGUCUUGAUCCAUGUGUACGCCCUGCCGGCCUUAACACCACGCCAACCAAGCAUUGUUGGCUUCAGGCCACAAAUUUUAUAAGAUUUAUUGUUCGCCAAAAAAUUACAAAUGUUUCUUCCUUCUGGUAAGCUUAUUACUUUUUGUAAAUUUUCUUUUGUAAAAAUUUGCAAAUCAUCCAAUUUUUCUUUCUUGCUUGCAAUCUCCAAAGUUGAGGACAGACUUUGUGUGUAUAGUGUUCUACUUUUCUAGUUUUGGUUAUUUAGUUUGUUCACCUGUUUUUCAGCGAUACUCUUUCGGUUUUAAAAAGAAGACUAGAAUCCUCUCCUUUGGAGCUCCGGCGAAACGUGGUGACGGUGGUAAGUAUCGGUGGCUGUGCGAGGAUGGGGCGUCCAAGUCGAGGCGGGCGACGCGUGGCGGGCUGAUAAACCAGAUUCUUACACGUUGUAAAGCUCAUGCCUCCUUGACGUGCGUCUAGGUCAAGCCCGGCGUAGCUGUUUGGGCCUUGGACCAUUUUUGUUAUUUGGGCUUCGGCCGUUUUUUAGUUACCCGUUAGUUCUGUUUUUUAGGUUGUACUUUGGUGUACUCGGGCUUCGGCAGUGGGCUAGGCCCAUUUGUUCAAUAAAAUAACAAUUUGGGGG